Molecule: transfer RNA, 71 nt
Filed under: Camelus bactrianus (Bactrian camel)
Lineage: Eukaryota; Metazoa; Chordata; Mammalia; Artiodactyla; Camelidae
Also listed under: 2 other names
Rfam family: tRNA
About the family: Transfer RNA (tRNA) molecules are approximately 80 nucleotides in length.
Source: Rfam by way of RNAcentral
GAGGACAGAGCUCAGAGGUAGAGUGUGUGCAUAAGAUGUACAAGGUCCUGGGUUCAAUCCCCCGUGCCUCU